This is a long non-coding RNA of Taeniopygia guttata (zebra finch), 1917 nucleotides long. The record is from Ensembl. Lineage: Eukaryota; Metazoa; Chordata; Aves; Passeriformes; Estrildidae.
GUAUUUUAAAAGUCUGAGUGGCAAAGAGGAGUGCAUAUUAAUUUUAGACAACUUUUACACUUUACUUUUAUGCUUUUACAUAUGUAAUUGAAUUCUGAAUUUCCCCUUCUAGCUUCAGCCUGAAAAGGGUAGCCCAGAAUACACCUACACACUUUUUGAUCCUUUCAGAAAAAAACCCAAAAACCUGAAGGAACCUUAUGAAACUUUAAAAACAAGUCUCUGUGCACAAAGAAUGCUUCAUUUCUAUGCAUCUUUUUAAUAGACACUGUCAUAGGCAGACCAGAAACCACAAAAACUCUGUUUUAACCUGAGAUCUGUCCCAAGGUGUGUCUUGACAAAAGAAGCAACACUGGUACUCACAAAGGCAUCACUGAGGCUGGAGUCUUAAUCUGUGUAAAUAUCUUGGACCUCUUUAAUUAUUUCCAUAUACAGGAGAAAGCUGCAUUUAUGAGGAAGCAAAAAGCAUUAUACCUGUAAUGAAAAAAAGGUUCCUUUAUUAAGAAUAACUACACCUAAAUUGCAAUUAUGUAACAAUUUUAUGAAGAAAUCACCUCCUGAUCAAAAUUGUUAUGUAACAAGCUCAAAAUCUGAGUAGAUUAGGAGCACAUAAUAGUGGAUUUUUUUAUUUGGUCAUCCAGGGAAAAAUGUAAUUUCAGUUGUGCCAAAAAAAAAUGUUGCUCAAUUUUUUGGCUUUUAUAACAUUGCUGACCCCUUCAAAUUAGGUCAGUUUUUAAACAAAAGCAUAAUUUAAAUGAGAAGUAUCAGUGUUUCAUUUCAGAAAUAUUCACUGUUUCCUUGUUGCAGUCCUCCAGAAUGAGACAUUCUGCAAGCUUCUGGAAGCUGUCCCAAAUUCACAAAUGUUUUCAGAUUCUGCAAAAGUGAGAAUGUCCACAGGAUUAACUAGUACCCACAAGGAACCCAUGAGGGAAGAAAACUCGAGUGAGGCACUAAUAAAUAACUUCACUUGUAAGGAUGUGAACCCUGCGUGAGAACUGAGAUGUUAGAACUCUGGCCAAAAAGGUGAUUUUGAUGCUCUAUUCAGUCAAUAAACAGAAGACAUUGUACCCUCCACUGUAUGUGUGGAGAAUAGGAUAAAUUAUGCACUGCACAAUCCUUUCCAGAAGGAAAAGUGCAAUAGUCCUUAAUUUUGGUGUAUUAUGAGCAGACCUCUAUGCCAUUAAAUAUUUAUAUGUCCCUGACCAGUAAUACACAAGUAUGUCUUUUAAAAUUUAAGGUCUCAGUGGUAGAAGACAGAGAGUUAUUUAUGGUUUUCUAGUUAUAUAUUACCGGAGGAACAAUUCUUGGGUUCUACACAAAAUAGAAUUCUAGUGGCAACCCAGUCAUCAUUCUCAUAUGUUGCAUCUUUCUACCUGUAUACGAAUGUAUUUGUCUAAAUAGAUGUGUUAGAUGCAACUUUUCUCACAAGUAACCUGAUUCUGCAAAGACUUAUGCAUAUGCUUUAUUUUAUAUGACUGGUAUGACCAAAACAGUGUCUCUGGCACAUGUAGUAUUCAGCCUGUGUGUUAAUCUUAACAGUACAGAAGCUCUGAUCUGACUUGAUUACAGUGAGUUGGGAAAUUACACCAAAAUCUCCUGUUAUAAUCAGAAAAUGUAGGUGAAUUAAAAUCACAUUUUCUCACAAGGGAGUAUACACCAUUUUCAAAGAAGCUGGAAUUUCUGUCGAUAGUGAGAAUCUCCAAGACUAAAAAUUUUCUCAAAUAUGUAAACCCCUAUUUGCCAAAUCAUGUUUAUUACAUUAAACAUAUUCACUAGACAAAGAAGACAGUGUGGGCCCUGAUAAAGAAAUACAUCACUAAAUUACUGAUGCAGGAGUAUGUAUUUGAGACUCAAAUGCAGACUCUAACUCAGGCAAGAGAGGAACCUCAGCCUGGGAGAUGAAAAAAUGUUUUACAUGAG